RNAcentral lists this ribosomal RNA (425 nucleotides) under uncultured bacterium. RNAcentral's name for it is "bacterial SSU rRNA". It matches the Rfam family "Bacterial small subunit ribosomal RNA", at positions 356 to 773 of the family's 1533-position model. The record is from RNAcentral.
GGGGAAUUUUGGACAAUGGGCGAAAGCCUGAUCCAGCCAUGCCGCGUGAGUGAAGAAGGCCUUCGGGUUGUAAAGCUCUUUUGUCCGGGAGGAAAUCCUGGCCUCUAAUACAGGUCGGGGAUGACAGUACUGGAAGAAUAAGCACCGGCUAACUACGUGCCAGCAGCCGCGGUAAUACGUAGGGUGCAAGCGUUAAUCGGAAUUACUGGGCGUAAAGCGUGCGCAGGCGGUUUUGUAAGCCAGAUGUGAAAUCCCCGAGCUUAACUUGGGAACUGCGUUUGGAACUACAAGACUAGAGUGUGUCAGAGGGGGGUAGAAUUCCACGCGUAGCAGUGAAAUGCGUAGAGAUGUGGAGGAAUACCGAUGGCGAAGGCAGCCCCCUGGGAUAACACUGACGCUCAUGCACGAAAGCGUGGGGAGCAAAC